AGUCGAGCGGACGGAUGGGAGCUUGCUCCCUGAAGUCAGCGGCGGACGGGUGAGUAACACGUGGGCAACCUGCCUGUAAGACUGGGAUAACUCCGGGAAACCGGGGCUAAUACCGGAUGCUUCUAUCGCUUCACAUGAGGGGGAGCUGAAAGAUGGUUUCGGCUAUCACUUACAGAUGGGCCCGCGGCGCAUUAGCUAGUUGGUGAGGUAACGGCUCACCAAGGCGACGAUGCGUAGCCGACCUGAGAGGGUGAUCGGCCACACUGGGACUGAGACACGGCCCAGACUCCUACGGGAGGCAGCAGUAGGGAAUCUUCCGCAAUGGACGAAAGUCUGACGGAGCAACGCCGCGUGAGUGAUGAAGGUUUUCGGAUCGUAAAACUCUGUUGUCAGGGAAGAACAAGUGCCGGACUAA
This 415-nucleotide ribosomal RNA is filed under the name Bacillus sp. (in: firmicutes). RNAcentral describes it as "bacterial SSU rRNA". It matches the Rfam family "Bacterial small subunit ribosomal RNA", at positions 60 to 464 of the family's 1533-position model. The record is from RNAcentral. Lineage: Bacteria; Bacillati; Bacillota; Bacilli; Caryophanales; Bacillaceae.